GAAUUUCGGUUAUCGAUGGGGAUGCGUUCCAUUAGUUUGCUGGCGGGGUAACGGCCCACCAAGACUACGAUGGAUAGGGGUUCUGAGAGGAAGGUCCCCCACAUUGGAACUGAGACACGGUCCAAACUCCUACGGGAGGCAGCAGUGAGGAAUAUUGGUCAAUGGGCGAGAGCCUGAACCAGCCAAGUAGCGUGAAGGAUGAAGGCUCUAUGGGUCGUAAACUUCUUUUAUAUGGGAAUAAAGUUUUCCACGUGUGGAAUUUUGUAUGUACCAUAUGAAUAAGGAUCGGCUAACUCCGUGCCAGCAGCCGCGGUAAUACGGAGGAUCCGAGCGUUAUCCGGAUUUAUUGGGUUUAAAGGGAGCGUAGGUGGAUUGUUAAGUCAGUUGUGAAAGUUUGCGGCUCAACCGUAAAAUUGCAGUUGAAACUGGCAGUCUUGAGUACAGUAGAGGUGGG
RNAcentral lists this ribosomal RNA (454 nucleotides) under uncultured bacterium. Its description in RNAcentral is "bacterial SSU rRNA". It matches the Rfam family "Bacterial small subunit ribosomal RNA", at positions 210 to 661 of the family's 1533-position model. The record is from RNAcentral.